GACCUUCGGGUUAGUGGCGGACGGGUGAGUAACGUUGUGGGAAUCUGCCCUCAGGAGGGGGAUAACGGCCGGAAACGGCCGCUAAUACCCCAUAUGCCGAGAGGUGAAAUGAAUUUCGCCUGAGGAUGAGCCCGCGUCUGAUUAGCUAGUUGGUGAGGUAAGAGCUCACCAAGGCAUCGAUCAGUAGCUGGUCUGAGAGGAUGAUCAGCCACACUGGGACUGAGACACGGCCCAGACUCCUACGGGAGGCAGCAGUGGGGAAUUUUCCGCAAUGGGCGAAAGCCUGACGGAGCAACGCCGCGUGAGGGAUGAAGGCCUCUGGGCUGUAAACCUCUUUUAUCAAGGAAUAAGAUCUGACGGUACUUGAUGAAUAAGCCACGGCUAAUUCCGUGCCAGCAGCCGCGGUAAUACGGGAGUGGCAAGCGUUAUCCGGAAUUAUUGGGCGUAAAGCGUCCGCAGGCGGCCCUACAAGUCUGCUGUUAAAAAGUGGAGCUUAACUCCAUCAUGGCAGUGGAAACUGUUGGGCUCGAGUGUGGUAGGGGCAGAGGGAAUUCCCGGUGUAGCGGUGAAAUGCGUAGAUAUCGGGAAGAACACCAGUGGCGAAGGCGCUCUGCUGGGCCAUCACUGACGCUCAUGGACGAAAGCCAGGGGAGCGAAAGGGAUUAGAUACCCCUGUAGUCCUGGCCGUAAACGAUGAACACUAGGUGUCGGGGGAAUCGACCCCUCCGGUGUCGUAGCCAACGCGUUAAGUGUUCCGCCUGGGGAGUACGCACGCAAGUGUGAAACUCAAAGGAAUUGACGGGGGCCCGCACAAGCGGUGGAGUAUGUGGUUUAAUUCGAUGCAACGCGAAGAACCUUACCAGGAUUUGACAUCCUGCGAAUCUCUUGGAAACUUGAGAGUGCCUUCGGGAGCGCAGUGACAGGUGGUGCAUGGCUGUCGUCAGCUCGUGUCGUGAGAUGUUGGGUUAAGUCCCGCAACGAGCGCAACCCACGUCUUUAGUUGCCAGCAUUUAGUUGGGCACUCUAGAGAGACCGCCGGUGAUAAACCGGAGGAAGGUGUGGAUGACGUCAAGUCAUCAUGCCCCUUAUAUCCUGGGCUACACACGUACUACAAUGCUACGGACAAAGGGCAGCAAGUUCGCGAGGACAAGCAAAUCCCAUAAACCGUAGCUCAGUUCAGAUCGUAGGCUGCAACUCGCCUACGUGAAGGAGGAAUCGCUAGUAAUCGCAGGUCAGCAUACUGCGGUGAAUACGUUCCCGGGCCUUGUACACACCGCCCGUCACACCAUGGAAGUUGGCCAUGCCCGAAGCCGUUACUCCAACCCUUGUGGAGGAGGACGUCGAAGGUGGGGCUGAUGACUGGGGUGAAGUCGUAACAAGGUAGCCGUA
This 1389-nucleotide ribosomal RNA is filed under the name uncultured bacterium. RNAcentral's name for it is "bacterial SSU rRNA". It matches the Rfam family "Bacterial small subunit ribosomal RNA". The record is from RNAcentral.